GAGUGGUGAUCGUGAUUAUUGGGUCUAAAGGGUCCGUAGCCGGUUUGGUCAGUCCUCCGGGAAAUCUGAUAGCUCAACUAUUAGGCUUUCGGGGGAUACUGCCAGACUUGGAACCGGGAGAGGUAAGAGGUACUACAGGGGUAGGAGUGAAAUCUUGUAAUCCCUGUGGGACCACCUGUGGCGAAGGCGUCUUACCAGAACGGGUUCGACGGUGAGGGACGAAAGCUGGGGGCACGAACCGGAUUAGAUACCCGGGUAGUCCCAGCCGUAAACGAUGCUCGCUAGGUGUCAGGCAUGGCGCGACCGUGUCUGGUGCCGCAGGGAAGCCGUGAAGCGAGCCACCUGGGAAGUACGGCCGCAAGGCUGAAACUUAAAGGAAUUGGCGGGGGAGCACAACAACGGGUGGAGCCUGCGGUUUAAUUGGACUCAACGCCGGACAACUCACCGGGGGCGACAGCAAUAUGUAGGCCAAGCUGAAGACUUUGCCUGAAUCGCUGAGAGGAGGUGCAUGGCCGUCGCCAGUUCGUACUGUGAAGCAUCCUGUUAAGUCAGGCAACGAGCGAGACCCGUGCCCACUGUUACCAGCAUGUCCUCCGGGACGAUGGGUACUCUGUGGGGACCGCCGAUGUUAAAUCGGAGGAAGGUGCGGGCCACGGUAGGUCAGUAUGCCCCGAAUCUCCCGGGCUACACGCGGGCUACAAUGGAUGGGACAAUGGGUCCCUCCCCUGAAAAGGGCUGGUAAUCUCACAAACCCAUUCGUAGUUCGGAUCGAGGGCUGUAACUCGCCCUCGUGAAGCUGGAAUCCGUAGUAAUCG
RNAcentral lists this ribosomal RNA (815 nucleotides) under Methanosarcina mazei. Its description in RNAcentral is "bacterial SSU rRNA". It matches the Rfam family "Archaeal small subunit ribosomal RNA", at positions 486 to 1300 of the family's 1478-position model. Lineage: Archaea; Methanobacteriati; Methanobacteriota; Methanomicrobia; Methanosarcinales; Methanosarcinaceae. The record is from RNAcentral.